Non-coding RNA from Mycena filopes, 94 nucleotides. The record is from the annotation of a GenBank genome assembly. NCBI's taxonomy places the organism in Eukaryota, Fungi, Basidiomycota, Agaricomycetes, Agaricales, Mycenaceae.
GAACCAAUAGCACAAUGUCAGUGCGCCCGCAUGAAUUCGACAGCUUCUCGAAGUCAUUCAGCGGUUGAUCCCCGUUCGAUUCGGGGUUGGGUCA